AGCAGCGUAGCUCAGUGGAAAGAGCCAUGACCUGAGUCAGAGGUCAUGGGUUCGAAUCCCCACUCUGCCA
RNAcentral lists this transfer RNA (70 nucleotides) under Ornithorhynchus anatinus (platypus). It matches the Rfam family "tRNA". From Rfam's summary of the family: Transfer RNA (tRNA) molecules are approximately 80 nucleotides in length. Their secondary structure includes four short double-helical elements and three loops (D, anti-codon, and T loops). Lineage: Eukaryota; Metazoa; Chordata; Mammalia; Monotremata; Ornithorhynchidae. The record is from Rfam by way of RNAcentral.